AUUUAAGUAGCUUAAUUUAAAGCUAAACAUUGAAAAUGUUUAUAUACAAUUUUUUUUGUCUUAAAUA
RNAcentral lists this transfer RNA (67 nucleotides) under Saccharosydne procerus. RNAcentral's name for it is "tRNA-Phe". It matches the Rfam family "tRNA". From Rfam's summary of the family: Transfer RNA (tRNA) molecules are approximately 80 nucleotides in length. Their secondary structure includes four short double-helical elements and three loops (D, anti-codon, and T loops). Lineage: Eukaryota; Metazoa; Arthropoda; Insecta; Hemiptera; Delphacidae. The record is from RNAcentral.